GCGAAUGGCGAUGGUGAGUAACACGUACUCAACGUACCCCUCAGUUUGGCAUAGCGAUAGGAAACUGUCGAUAAUUCCAAAUACUCGUUGUUUUCGCAUGAAAACAACUAAAAGGUGCUUCGGCAUCGCUGAGGGAGCGGGGUGCGCAACAUUAGCUAGUUGGUGAGGUAACGGCCCACCAAGGCGAUGAUGUUUAGCGGGGUUGAGAGACUGAUCCGCCACACUGGGACUGAGAUACGGCCCAGACUCCUACGGGAGGCAGCAGUAGGGAAUAUUCCACAAUGAGCGAAAGUUUGAUGGAGCGACACAGCGUGCAGGAUGAAGGUCCUCUGGAUUGUAAACUGCUGUGGUUAAGGGAAGGAAAAAAAUAGUGGUAGGUUAAUGACAUUAUCCUUUGACGGUACCCUUUAUUAGAAAAGCAACGGCCCUAACUAUGGUUUGCCAGCAGCCGCGGUAAUACAUAGGUUGCAAGCGUUAUCCGAAUUUAUUGGGCGUAAAGCGUCUGUAGGUUGUUUAUUAAGUCUGGCGUCCAAAAAAUUUGGGGCUCAAACCCCAAACCGCGUUGGAUACUGGUAGACUAGAGUUGUUGCAGAGGUUAGCGGGAAUUCCUUGUGAAGCGGUGAAAUGCGUAGAUAUAAAGGAAGAACACCAAUAUGGCGAAGGCAGCUAACUGGGCAUACACUGACACUGAGAGACGAAAGCGUGGGGAGCAAACAGGAUUAGAUACCCUGGUAGUCCACGCCCUAAACGAUGAUCAUUAGUUGAUGGAAAAUUCAUCGACGCAGCUAACGCAUUAAAUGAUCCGCCUGAGUAGUACGUUCGCAAGAAUAAAACUUAAAGGAAUUGACGGGGAUCCGCACAAGCGUUGGAGCAUGUGGUUUAAUUUGAAGAUACGCGUAGAACCUUACCCACUCUUGACAUCUUCUGCAAAGCUAUAGAGAUAUAGUGGAGUUAC
RNAcentral lists this ribosomal RNA (955 nucleotides) under uncultured Mycoplasma sp. RNAcentral's name for it is "bacterial SSU rRNA". It matches the Rfam family "Bacterial small subunit ribosomal RNA", at positions 91 to 1020 of the family's 1533-position model. The record is from RNAcentral. Lineage: Bacteria; Bacillati; Mycoplasmatota; Mollicutes; Mycoplasmatales; Mycoplasmataceae.